Molecule: ribosomal RNA, 253 nt
Filed under: uncultured bacterium
Lineage: Bacteria
Description: partial 16S ribosomal RNA
Rfam family: Bacterial small subunit ribosomal RNA
Source: RNAcentral
GACAGAGGGGGCAAGCGUUGCUCGGAAUUACUGGGCGUAAAGGGCGCGUAGGCGGGAUGGCAAGUCGGUCGUGAAAUCCCUCGGCUCAACCGAGGAACGUCGAUCGAUACUGCUGUUCUUGAGGAUUGCAGAGGAGACUGGAAUUCCCGGUGUAGCGGUGGAAUGCGUAGAUAUCGGGAGGAACACCAGUGGCGAAGGCGGUUGCCUGGAGCUUUGCUGACGCUGAGGCGCGAAAGCGUGGGGAGCGAUCCGG